Molecule: ribosomal RNA, 492 nt
Filed under: uncultured bacterium
Lineage: Bacteria
Description: partial 16S ribosomal RNA
Rfam family: Bacterial small subunit ribosomal RNA
Source: RNAcentral
AGUGAACGCUGGCGGUAGGCCUAACACAUGCAAGUCGAACGGAAGCACAGUAAGAGCUUGCGCUUACGGGUGGCGAGUGGCGGACGGGAGAGGAAAACAUCGGAAUCUACUUUUUCGGGGGGGAUAACGAAGGGAAGCUUACGCUAAUACCGCAUACGACCUACGGGGGAAAGCAGGGGAACCUUGGAGCUGGCGGGGAUGAACGAGCCGAUGUCGGAUUAGCUAGUUGGCGGGGUAAAGGCCAACCAAGGCGACGAUCGGUAGCUGGACUGGGUGGAUGAUCAGCCACACUGGAACUUGGACACGGUCCAUACUCCUGCGGGAGGCAGCAGUGUGGAAUAUUGGACAAUGGUCGCAAGCCUUAUCCAGCCAUACCGCGUCGGUGACGAAGGCCUUCGGGUUGUAAUGCCCUUUUGUUGGGAAAGAAAAGCAGCAGGUUAAUACCCCGCUGUUCUGACGGUACCCAAAGAAUAAGCACCGGCUAACUUCGUG